Molecule: ribosomal RNA, 253 nt
Filed under: uncultured bacterium
Lineage: Bacteria
Description: partial 16S ribosomal RNA
Rfam family: Bacterial small subunit ribosomal RNA
Source: RNAcentral
GACGUAGGGCGCGGGCGUGUCCGGAUUUAUUGGGCGUAAAGAGCUCGUAGGCGGCUUGUCGCGUCGUUCGUGAAAAACCUGCAGCUCAACUGCAGGCUUGCGGUCGAUACGGGCAGGCUAGAGUUCGGUAGGGGAGACUGGAAUUCCUGGUGUAGCGGUGAAAUGCGCAGAUAUCAGGAGGAACACCGGUGGCGAAGGCGGGUCUCUGGGCCGAUACUGACGCUGAGGAGCGAAAGCGUGGGGAGCGAACAGG